GAGGGCUGGGGUCCUGGUCCCCCCCCCAGCACUGCCGACCCCUCCCCUUCCCUUACAGCCAUGCCCAGGCCCGCAGGAGCCGGGACAGCCCCGAGCAGCGGACGGGGACGGGACCGAGCGCAGCCGUGAGCGUGGCGGUGCCGGCCCCUCCAACCCGUGCUCAGGGCUGGGGGGGGGGCUGCAGGGCCAGGACCCCCUGCCCCGGCUGCCCACGGGUCCCGGAGCUCAGCCCCUGCUGCAGCGGGGUGCCCCCAGGGCUGCGGGGUGCCCCUGGCCAGCAUGACCAGAAGGGGCCAGCGUGGCCGGAUCCUGGUUUUGGCACAGUCCCUUGUGGGGCCAGACAGACCUCGGGGGAGCUCCUGGGAUCAAAUCAACCCCUCCGAGUUCAUCCUCAGAGGCACCCCGAGACCCGUGCAGCAGGACCGGGACCCCCGUGCGGGGGCAGCUCCGGGAAGCGGGGCGGAAGGCUCGGCCCUGCUCCCCCCCCGGCUCGCCCAGCUGCGCGCUUCCAGAUGUGCGGCCGCCCACCCGCAGCUCCCGGGCGGCCGCGGCCGGGUCCCUGCCCCUGCGCCCCCACACAGCACCGGGGCCGUGCGGGGGCUCAGCCCAGCCCAUCCUGCCCAGCUGGGGGGGCCACGCUGCCCACCCCCGGCCCGAGCACUUUGCCCACCCCGAGCCAUCCGAGCCCCUCGGCACGGUUCCCGGCAGCGCACGGAGGCAGCAGGCACAGGACACGGGACACGGGACAUGGGACACAGGACACGGGACACGGGACAUGGGACAAGGGACACUGCUGCCACCCUGUUACUGCCAUCAGCACUGGUUUUAGCCAGGUUGGGCCGGGUGGGAGCCCCCCACAGGGCUGGCACUGCCCCCCCUCCCCAUUGGGGCUCUGCUGGCACUUCCAGGCAGGGGGGAGCGGACAGAAAUUUUGUAAAUAAAGGGAAAGAAAAAAAAAAAACCACACCACUCCCCCCACACCCUCGUCCCUGCCCCAUCCGCACCCCCUCGCAGGGUGGCCGUGCCCCCCGUCCCCCUGCCACAGCUGAGGUGACGCCUCCGUGCCCAGCCUGUGCCCCCCGCACCGUCCCCUCCUCCGGAGCUGGGACCCCACCGGCUGCCCCCACCUGUCCCCAGCCACCAGUGCUGGCCCCUGUCCCCAGCCCAGCCUCGAGGCCAGGGGGCUGGGGACGGGGUCACGCAGCGCUGGGGACGGGGUGGCCGGGAUGGGGUGGCCACAUUGGGGUCCUGGUGCCCCCCAGGGUGGUGGCACGGGGCGGGCGGUGCAGGCUGGCUCGGAGGGGGGGGCUUUUUGAAACAGAAAUAAAAAAGGACUUGCAGAAAGGCAGCGGCUCAGCAGGGUCUGUGGGUGGGGAGGGGGCUGCCUUGCACCAACCCUGGGGCAGGGAGAGCUCAUGGGGGUCCUGGGGUCAUGGAGAGAGGGACUGGGACAGGGACUGGGAGGCUCUGGAAGGUGCUGGAGCCUGGUGCCACGGUGGGGCUGGGGGCCGCAGGCUGACCCUGCCCGGGGGGGG
This 1535-nucleotide long non-coding RNA is filed under the name Anas platyrhynchos platyrhynchos (common mallard). Its description in RNAcentral is "lncRNA (ENSAPLG00000027013.1)". The record is from RNAcentral. Lineage: Eukaryota; Metazoa; Chordata; Aves; Anseriformes; Anatidae.